GGGAGUGUAGCUCAGUGGUAGAGAAUGUGCCUCCUAUGUGCAAGGCCCUGGGUUCAAUUCCCAGUACUACAA
This 72-nucleotide transfer RNA is filed under the name Cavia porcellus (domestic guinea pig). It matches the Rfam family "tRNA". From Rfam's summary of the family: Transfer RNA (tRNA) molecules are approximately 80 nucleotides in length. Their secondary structure includes four short double-helical elements and three loops (D, anti-codon, and T loops). Further hydrogen bonds mediate the characteristic L-shaped molecular structure. tRNAs have two regions of fundamental functional importance: the anti-codon, which is responsible for specific mRNA codon recognition, and the 3' end, to which the tRNAs corresponding amino acid is attached (by aminoacyl-tRNA synthetases). tRNAs cope with the degeneracy of the genetic code in two manners: having more than one tRNA (with a specific anti-codon) for a particular amino acid; and 'wobble' base-pairing, i.e. permitting non-standard base-pairing at the 3rd anti-codon position. Lineage: Eukaryota; Metazoa; Chordata; Mammalia; Rodentia; Caviidae. The record is from Rfam by way of RNAcentral.